CGUGCUUGUCCUUGCGUUUUUCAUAUACGUAAGAUCACAUGAAUUUUCCCUUGCAUUCUGUGCUAUAAAAAAAAUGCGAAAAUAUAUAUUUUAAAUUGUAUGUUAUUUUUAAGAGCGUUUGUAUAAUAGUUUAUUCAUUUUAUUAUGCAUUCGUUUGUUUGUUUUUAAUUAGUCUCAAAUUUUUAUAAAAAAAAAAAAAAAAAAAAAAAAAAAAAUGAAAAAACUUGUAACAAUUGCUAUUUCAGUUUUUAUUAUUUUUUAUAUUGCACCUAUAAAAAGUAAAAAAGUGUUUUUUUUACGAUAUAAAACGUGUUCUUAUAUAUCAUCUAUAGAGAAGCAAAACACAGUGUGUAAUAAUAAUUUUAAAAAUAUUAGUUUAAUUAAAAAAAAGAAAAAUCCAAUUUAUUUUAUUAAAGAAAAAAAAAAAAAUAACAAUAAUAAGUUGUCCUUUAGUACAUGCCUUUUCAAAGGAAAAAAAAACGAAGAAGUAGAACAAACAACAACACGGAAAGAUCAACAGCCAACUACUGAACAAGAAAUAAAAGAAAAUUCAUAUGUACAUAAUAAAAAUAAUGAUAUUCAACAAAAAAUUAAAAAUGAAAACGAGCAAAAUCGGGAAUAUAAUACCAAUGAACAUACGUACACAAAUAAUGAACAACAAGAGAAUGUGAUAACCGAUUCCUUUUUCUCAAAUAGUUCUGCACAUGAUGAUGAUGAUGAUGGAUAUGAUGAUGGAGAUGAUGAUGGAGAUGAUAUGGAGGGGGGCAAGGGUAAAAAGAAAAAAAAGAAAAAAAAUAAAAAAAAGAAAAAAAAAGAAAAAAAAAAGGAAGUGGGAAUUGGGACUGGUGAAAGUGUUAAUAGCUACGAUGGUAGUGGCAGUAACAACGAAGGUAUGAAUGACAACGGAGAGAGUGACAAAAACAGUAGCGAUGAAAUAAUGGAAAAAUAUAUUGAAAAAUUAAAUAACAUUGACGUAUUAAAAAAUAACAAAAAAAUAGAUAACCUUGAUAAAAAUAAAUUACUAGAAGAAUAUGAAAGAUUAGUAAAUGUGCUUAAAGAAAGUGGUGAAAAAAAGUUAGCCGAAUAUAAAGAAAAUGAAAAAAUAAAUAAGUACGAAUUGAAUGAACGUGUUAUUAACAGUUCUCAAAAAGUGAAUAUCAAUAAGCUAAAAGAAGACAUAGAAAAAAAAUUUGGGACUAAUGACACUACAGAAAGAAGGAUACAGGAGUACAUGCUUUUGUUUACUCAGGGAGGUGACAGUGAUACCAACAGUAGUAGAAGCAGUAGUGGUAGCAACAGUAGCAUAAGUAGUAGUGGUAGCAACAGUAGCAUAAACAGUAGUGGUAGCAACAGUAGCAUAAACAGUAGUGGUAGCAAAAGUAGCAUGAGCAGUAGUGGUAGCAACAGUAGCAUAAGUAGUAGUGGUAGCAACAGUAGCAGAAGUAGUAGUGGUAGCAACAGUAGCAGAAGUAGUAGUGGUAGCAACAGUAGCAGAAGUAGUACAAGUUUCAGUGAUAAUGGGGACUAUACGAAGACACAAACGGAAGAACAAAACUUUUUAAAAAUGGAAGAACAAAAGGAAAACCUAAGGAUACUGAAAAAAAUAAAAGAUGGUGAUUAUAGUGAAAUAAAAAAUUUUAAUUUCAAAUUAACAAAAAAUGAUUAUGAUCUUAUGAGUAAUAUAAAUAAUAAUAAUAAUAAUAAUAUAAAUAAUAAUAAUUCGAGUAGCAGUAAACUAACCGAGAGUUCAAGUAAUAACAUAUGUACAAAUGGACAGAAUAAAAAGAUUCUAGAAGAAGAAAAUAAAGUGAUUGAUUAUAUUUUUGAUAAAAUUAUUCAUAACAAUCCCGUAGUUAAACAACUGAAAGAAAAAG
Molecule: long non-coding RNA, 1874 nt
Organism: Piliocolobus tephrosceles (Ugandan red Colobus)
Lineage: Eukaryota; Metazoa; Chordata; Mammalia; Primates; Cercopithecidae
Source: Ensembl